AAAAAUAAAGAAUACUAAAAAUUAUAACUAGUUUCGAAUUUGUUUUAAUCAGUUAAGGAAAAUUAAGAAUUUGAUUUAAUCAGUUAAGAAAAGUAUGUAGAAAACUUUUUGUUUUUUUUUUUAUCGACUCUGAUCAACUAAAAAUUUAUAAAAAUUUCGCUCUCAUCACGAUCAAUUCUGAAUGAAAUAAUAAAUGAGGACAAUAGUAUAAUAAAAAUUAACCCGUCGCGAAUCCGUCCCGAUCUGAUAAGAAAUGAGGCGGUAGGUGGGCAACUCUUCUCCUCCC
This 286-nucleotide long non-coding RNA is filed under the name Ananas comosus (pineapple). Its description in RNAcentral is "long non-coding RNA (ACOM_LNC018509)". The record is from RNAcentral. Lineage: Eukaryota; Viridiplantae; Streptophyta; Magnoliopsida; Poales; Bromeliaceae.